Molecule: non-coding RNA, 152 nt
Filed under: Amedibacterium intestinale
Lineage: Bacteria; Bacillati; Bacillota; Erysipelotrichia; Erysipelotrichales; Erysipelotrichaceae
Source: RNAcentral
NNUGAAGGAAGUCGGCGGCAAAAUCUUGAACCUAUGAACAAGAACUGGUUAAAAGGCGCAUAAGGUAGGAUAAGGUUGCCAAACAAACCAAAGUCCUAUACUGCACGGAGCCUUAUGUGUAAAAUCAGAGGUUACAUGAGAGGAAAGUUACU